CGGGUGAGUAACGCGUGGAUAACCUGCCUUGCACUGGGGGAUAACACUUAGAAAUAGGUGCUAAUACCGCAUAAGCGCACAGAGCCGCAUGGCUCAGUGUGAAAAACUCCGGUGGUGUAAGAUGGAUCCGCGUCUGAUUAGCUGGUUGGCGGGGUAGAAGCCCACCAAGGCGACGAUCAGUAGCCGGCCUGAGAGGGUGAACGGCCACAUUGGGACUGAGACACGGCCCAAACUCCUACGGGAGGCAGCAG
This 251-nucleotide ribosomal RNA is filed under the name uncultured bacterium. RNAcentral's name for it is "partial 16S ribosomal RNA". It matches the Rfam family "Bacterial small subunit ribosomal RNA", at positions 103 to 354 of the family's 1533-position model. The record is from RNAcentral.